AUUGAACGCUGGCGGCAUGCUUUACACAUGCAAGUCGAACGGCAGCGCGGGCUUCGGCCUGGCGGCGAGUGGCGAACGGGUGAGUAAUACAUCGGAACGUGACCAGCAUAUGGGGAUAGCUCGGCGAAAGCCGGACUAAUACCGCAUACGACCUGAUGGUGAAAGCGGGGGAUCUUCGGACCUCGCGCGAUUGGAGCGCCGAUGGCAGAUUAGCUAGUUGGUGGGGUAAAGGCCUACCAAGGCGACGAUCUGUAGCUGGUCUGAGAGGACGACCAGCCACACUGGGACUGAGACACGGCCCAGACUCCUACGGGAGGCAGCAGUGGGGAAUUUUGGACAAUGGGCGAAAGCCUGAUCCAGCAAUGCCGCGUGUGUGAUGAAGGCCUUCGGGUUGUAAAGCACUUUUGGCGGGAACGAAAAGGACUGUGCCAAUACAACGGUUCGAUGACGGUACCCGCAGAAUAAGCACCGGCUAACUACGUG
This 483-nucleotide ribosomal RNA is filed under the name uncultured bacterium. Its description in RNAcentral is "partial 16S ribosomal RNA". It matches the Rfam family "Bacterial small subunit ribosomal RNA", at positions 29 to 507 of the family's 1533-position model. The record is from RNAcentral.